This 253-nucleotide ribosomal RNA is filed under the name uncultured bacterium. RNAcentral describes it as "partial 16S ribosomal RNA". It matches the Rfam family "Bacterial small subunit ribosomal RNA", at positions 524 to 776 of the family's 1533-position model. The record is from RNAcentral.
UACGUAGGGCGCAAGCGUUAUCCGGAAUUAUUGGGCGUAAAGAGCUCGUAGGCGGUUUGUCGCGUCUGCCGUGAAAGUCCGGGGCUCAACUCCGGAUCUGCGGUGGGUACGGGCAGACUAGAGUGAUGUAGGGGAGACUGGAAUUCCUGGUGUAGCGGUGAAAUGCGCAGAUAUCAGGAGGAACACCGAUGGCGAAGGCAGGUCUCUGGGCCUUACCUGACGCUGAGGAGCGGAAGCGUGGGUAGCGAACAGG